This 254-nucleotide ribosomal RNA is filed under the name uncultured bacterium. RNAcentral's name for it is "partial 16S ribosomal RNA". It matches the Rfam family "Bacterial small subunit ribosomal RNA", at positions 524 to 776 of the family's 1533-position model. The record is from RNAcentral.
UACGUAGGCAGCAAGCGUUGUUCGGAGUUACUGGGCGUAAAGGGUGCGUAGGUGGCUCUAUAAGUAUGGUGUGAAAUCUCCCGGCUUAACUGGGAGGGUGCGCCGUAGACUGUGGGGCUAGAGUGUGGGAGAGGAAAGUGGAAUUCCUGGUGUAGCGGUGAAAAUGCGCAGAUAUCAGGAGGAACACCAGUGGCGAAGGCGGUUCUCUGGGCAUUACCUGACGCUGAGGAGCGAAAGUGUGGGGAGCGAACAGG